AUCAGGAAGUUCGUUGUCUGGUAGAGGAGACAUUGUCCUUGCCCUUAGCGAACAGCAAGUAAGUUAGCCGUUCACGUCGCGGAAAGAGGUAAAACCAUUCUCCAGAAGCUGUAGCUCCAAAGAAUCCCCAGUUUCACUCAACGCAUUUAAUUUCCCACUAUUACUGUUAUUUUGCACUUCCUGGUGUGUUCUGAGGUCAGUCGUGGAUGCUCUGGCUCCCAGACUAGGGUCAACUCGAGUGUCUCCUGCCAACAACUUAUCUGGAAGGACCAUGACUUUCUGGACUCAGAAGAUCCAAUUCUUCAGCUGUGCCAUCUCCAUUGGUUCUUCUUCCACUGUCCUGGUCCUCAAUUCCUGGUGUUAUGGCUUUAG
Molecule: long non-coding RNA, 372 nt
Organism: Enhydra lutris kenyoni (northern sea otter)
Lineage: Eukaryota; Metazoa; Chordata; Mammalia; Carnivora; Mustelidae
Exons: 3
Source: RefSeq, a predicted model, not a curated record